Molecule: ribosomal RNA, 1431 nt
Filed under: Mammaliicoccus sciuri
Lineage: Bacteria; Bacillati; Bacillota; Bacilli; Caryophanales; Staphylococcaceae
Description: bacterial SSU rRNA
Rfam family: Bacterial small subunit ribosomal RNA
Source: RNAcentral
CGUGCUAUACAUGCAAGUCGAGCGAACAGAUGAGAAGCUUGCUUCUCUGAUGUUAGCGGCGGACGGGUGAGUAACACGUGGGUAACCUACCUAUAAGACUGGGAUAACUCCGGGAAACCGGGGCUAAUACCGGAUAAUAUUUUGAACCGCAUGGUUCAAUAGUGAAAGACGGUUUCGGCUGUCACUUAUAGAUGGACCCGCGCCGUAUUAGCUAGUUGGUAAGGUAACGGCUUACCAAGGCGACGAUACGUAGCCGACCUGAGAGGGUGAUCGGCCACACUGGAACUGAGACACGGUCCAGACUCCUACGGGAGGCAGCAGUAGGGAAUCUUCCGCAAUGGGCGAAAGCCUGACGGAGCAACGCCGCGUGAGUGAUGAAGGUCUUCGGAUCGUAAAACUCUGUUGUUAGGGAAGAACAAAUUUGUUAGUAACUGAACAAGUCUUGACGGUACCUAACCAGAAAGCCACGGCUAACUACGUGCCAGCAGCCGCGGUAAUACGUAGGUGGCAAGCGUUAUCCGGAAUUAUUGGGCGUAAAGCGCGCGUAGGCGGUUUCUUAAGUCUGAUGUGAAAGCCCACGGCUCAACCGUGGAGGGUCAUUGGAAACUGGGAAACUUGAGUGCAGAAGAGGAGAGUGGAAUUCCAUGUGUAGCGGUGAAAUGCGCAGAGAUAUGGAGGAACACCAGUGGCGAAGGCGGCUCUCUGGUCUGUAACUGACGCUGAUGUGCGAAAGCGUGGGGAUCAAACAGGAUUAGAUACCCUGGUAGUCCACGCCGUAAACGAUGAGUGCUAAGUGUUAGGGGGUUUCCGCCCCUUAGUGCUGCAGCUAACGCAUUAAGCACUCCGCCUGGGGAGUACGACCGCAAGGUUGAAACUCAAAGGAAUUGACGGGGACCCGCACAAGCGGUGGAGCAUGUGGUUUAAUUCGAAGCAACGCGAAGAACCUUACCAAAUCUUGACAUCCUUUGACCGCUCUAGAGAUAGAGUCUUCCCCUUCGGGGGACAAAGUGACAGGUGGUGCAUGGUUGUCGUCAGCUCGUGUCGUGAGAUGUUGGGUUAAGUCCCGCAACGAGCGCAACCCUUAAGCUUAGUUGCCAUCAUUAAGUUGGGCACUCUAGGUUGACUGCCGGUGACAAACCGGAGGAAGGUGGGGAUGACGUCAAAUCAUCAUGCCCCUUAUGAUUUGGGCUACACACGUGCUACAAUGGAUAAUACAAAGGGCAGCGAAUCCGCGAGGCCAAGCAAAUCCCAUAAAAUUAUUCUCAGUUCGGAUUGUAGUCUGCAACUCGACUACAUGAAGCUGGAAUCGCUAGUAAUCGUAGAUCAGCAUGCUACGGUGAAUACGUUCCCGGGUCUUGUACACACCGCCCGUCACACCACGAGAGUUUGUAACACCCGAAGCCGGUGGAGUAACCUUUUAGGAGCUAGCCG